This 524-nucleotide ribosomal RNA is filed under the name uncultured bacterium. RNAcentral's name for it is "partial 16S ribosomal RNA". It matches the Rfam family "Bacterial small subunit ribosomal RNA", at positions 28 to 523 of the family's 1533-position model. The record is from RNAcentral.
GACGAACGCUGGCGGCGUGCUUAACACACGCAAGUCGAACGAGACGAUUGAAAGCUUGCUUUCGAAAGUCGAGUGGCAAACGGGUGAGUAACGCGUAGACAACCUGCCUUUGAGAUGGGGACAACAGUUCGAAAGGACUGCUAAUACCGAAUGUUGUAUAUUUUCCACAUGGAAGAUAUAUUAAAGAUGGCCUCUAUUUAUAAGCUAUAGCUCAAAGAUGGGUCUGCGUCUGAUUAGCUGGUUGGUGGGGUAACGGCCUACCAAGGCGACGAUCAGUAGCCGGUCUGAGAGGAUGAACGGCCACAUUGGGACUGAGACACGGCCCAGACUCCUACGGGAGGCAGCAGUGGGGAAUCUUCCACAAUGGACGAAAGUCUGAUGGAGCAACGCCGCGUGAGUGAAGAAGGGUUUCGGCUCGUAAAGCUCUGUUGUCGGGGACGAAUGUGCAGUAUUUGAAUAAAGUACUGUAAUGACGGUACCUGACGAGGAAGCCACGGCUAACUACGUGCCAGCCGCCGCCGUAA